UAGCUACUUGCAUCAUUGUAAAAAUGAUGCAGGAUCGACUAUGUCGAAUAAAAUUCUAGGUAGAAUUUUGAUAAUGACAUUGUCUGCCUAUGUGUCUUGACCAAAUUACGUGCCAGCAGUCGCGGUAAUACGUAGAAGACUAGUGUUAUUCAUGUUUAAUCGGUUUAAAGGGUACCUAGACGGUAAAUCAAGCCUAAAAUUAAGUGAAGGGACUAAUUUACUAGAGUUACUUAUGAGGGGGUAUUAAAGUACUGCUGGUGUAGAGAUGAAAUUCUGUCAUACCUCUUUUCAAUAGAAAAAUAACGGCACAGGUAUAGGCGAAAGCAUCCCCUUAUGUGAUAACUGACGUUGAGGGACGAAGGCUUUGUGUAGCGAACAGGAUUAGAUACCCCAGUAGUCAAAGCAGAAAAUGAUGAAUGUCAUAGAUUAGAUAAAUAAGUUUAUUCUAUAAAUGAAAGUGUAAGCAUUCCACCUCAAGAGUAAUUUGGCAACAUUGGAACUGAAAUCAUUAGACCGUUUCUGAAACCAGUAGUGAAGUAUGUUGUUUAAUUUGAUGAUCCGCAAAAAACCUUACCACAAUUUGAAUAUUUAUAUCUUUUAUUGUUUUUUUUUUAUUUUUCUUCUGAUUUUCAUUGNAUGAUUUUCUUCUUAUUCUAUAUGCAUGCACAUGCACAUGCAAAAGAAUAAGAAAAAAAA
Molecule: ribosomal RNA, 696 nt
Filed under: Hypogymnia pulverata
Lineage: Eukaryota; Fungi; Ascomycota; Lecanoromycetes; Lecanorales; Parmeliaceae
Description: partial small subunit ribosomal RNA
Rfam family: Bacterial small subunit ribosomal RNA
Source: RNAcentral